AAAUAAAUAUUUCAGUGAUUUUUGUGUGCAGAAUAACUAACAUGAAACGCAAUCAGAUCGCGAAUUUGGUGAUAUUUUUCAUAACAUCGAUUUCACUUAAGAAUGUAAAUUGCGACGAACAACUCGCGCCGAAACAAAUUAGCAAAAUAAAUCUCAAAAUAGCAGUUUUACUACCACUUCUGGAAAAAAAGGCGACAUCUCUUUCGAGUCAAACUAAAUGUUCGGAUAUUCUACAUCCUGAUUCCUUACAAACUGUGACAGCUUUGUAUUAUGCGUUGGAUUUGAUAAACAGAGACGAGACACUUUCAAAAAAUUUCACCUUGACCAUCGAUGUCAUAGAAAACUGCCACGAUUCGGUCUUAGGGAUGAGACAUCUUUCAAAUUUAAUCGAACAAUUGCAGAUUGAACCGAUAGACGCUGAAAAUGCUACGUUUGGAGUUAUUUAUUCAAAUGAUUAUGCAGAGUUGAACUACGAAACUAUUUUCCAAUCAUUUCCAAAUUUCCCACUAAUUAGUUGUUCAGGACCUCCGACCGGAAUUACCGAUUUGAAUGGAAUUCAACGAAGUUCGAAUGGUGGUUUUAAUACAGUAACAUCCCGUCAUGUUUUCAUUGUUGACGUGGUAUUUGAAAUUUUAAAGCACUAUAAUUGGAAAUACAUCGCAAUAUACA
This is a long non-coding RNA of Planococcus citri (citrus mealybug), 669 nucleotides long. RefSeq lists it as uncharacterized. The record is from RefSeq and is a predicted model, not a curated record. The transcript is spliced from 3 exons. NCBI's taxonomy places the organism in Eukaryota, Metazoa, Arthropoda, Insecta, Hemiptera, Pseudococcidae.